GUGAGGAAUAUUGGUCAAUGGGCGCAAGCCUGAACCAGCCAUCCCGCGUGAAGGAAGAAGGCGCUAUGCGUCGUAAACUUCUUUUCCAGGGGGUGAAUUGCCCCGACGUGUCGGGGUUUGACGGUACCCUGGGAAUAAGCAUCGGCUAACUCCGUGCCAGCAGCCGCGGUAAUACGGAGGAUGCAAGCGUUAUCCGGAUUUAUUGGGUUUAAAGGGUGCGUAGGCGGAUCAAUAAGUCAGUGGUGAAAACCUGCAGCUUAACUGUAGAUGUGCCGUUGAUACUGUUGGUCUUGAGUAUGGUCAAGGUAGGCGGAAUGUGUAAUGUAGCGGUGAAAUGCUUAGAUAUUACACAGAACACCGAUUGCGAAGGCAGCUUGCUGGGCCAUUACUGACGCUGAUGCACGAAAGCGUGGGGAUCGAACAGGAUUAGAUACCCCAGUAGUCC
This 445-nucleotide ribosomal RNA is filed under the name uncultured bacterium. RNAcentral's name for it is "bacterial SSU rRNA". It matches the Rfam family "Bacterial small subunit ribosomal RNA", at positions 354 to 796 of the family's 1533-position model. The record is from RNAcentral.